GACGAACGCUGGCGGCGUGCUUAACACAUGCAAGUCGAGCGGUAAGGCCCUUUCGGGGGUACACGAGCGGCGAACGGGUGAGUAACACGUGGGUGACCUGCCCUCAGCUCUGGGAUAAAGCCUGGGAAACCGGGUCUAAUACUGGAUAUGACUCCAUGACGCAUGUUGUGGGGUGGAAAGCCUUGUGCGGCUGAGGAUGGGCCCGCGGCCUAUCAGCUUGUUGGUGGGGUGAUGGCCUACCAAGGCGACGACGGGUAGCCGGCCUGAGAGGGCGACCGGCCACACUGGGACUGAGACACGGCCCAGACUCCUACGGGAGGCAGCAGUGGGGAAUCUUGCGCAAUGGGCGAAAGCCCUGACGCAGCGACGCCGCGUGAGGGAUGACGGCCU
Molecule: ribosomal RNA, 390 nt
Filed under: uncultured bacterium
Lineage: Bacteria
Description: bacterial SSU rRNA
Rfam family: Bacterial small subunit ribosomal RNA
Source: RNAcentral